GGCAGGCCAGUAUGUGAACCCAAAGGGAGUAUUCUCGGAAAAAAGAGGCAGGCGACCAGUCUCCUGAAAACGAUUAGACUACAACCGGUGCAACUUCAUUAUCGUUCUCAUGAUUAGCACUCGAGGAAGAACUGCAAGAAUCACUGGGUGGACUAUUUCCUCAGACCGUAGAGGAUUAUUAUGCUUCUUUAAGGUGCCACCUCACUCUACUGGAUGGUGGAGGAUCAGGCUGACUGCAACCGUACUGAAUGGAUGGCAGGGAAGCACAGCACACAGGAAUUUCUAAAUGAAGAAGAGUGAAUAAAUGCAC
Long non-coding RNA from Alosa alosa (allis shad), 310 nucleotides. RefSeq lists it as uncharacterized. The transcript is spliced from 3 exons. Lineage: Eukaryota; Metazoa; Chordata; Actinopteri; Clupeiformes; Clupeidae. The record is from RefSeq and is a predicted model, not a curated record.